GCACUGGCACCGAAAAGAAAUUUUCAAACACCACUUCAAUCAAUUCACCUCUCGAGCGAGAAAGAACGUCUUGAACACUUCACGAAAUAGAAUACGGAUCACGAAUAGAAUACGUCGACAGCGGCCGAUCAAAGGCUGAUUGAUUCCAUCUGCCACCGGAAGCGCGGGCUGUAUGACACUACCAUCCAAGAAGAAGGUCCCAACACAAUCCGACAGGCCCAAGAUGCGACCGUUCCGGGGAACAGUCCGACGGCAAGUGAUUGGCACAUGGGAUGCGAUUUCAAACCUGGAGGCUGAAGAGAACUCCAGAAGCCACCCCCAGUCGAAAGAUUGCUCUCAUGUCUCUCGGAGCUGUUCGAUCGUGCAAGGGCCCAGCAUACCAAGAACUCUAUGGUACUGAGCUAUGCUGCAUUAGCCAUCGCUUCUUCUCUCCCAAGUGAUGAAGACUCAGCAAUUAAUACUCGCGCUUGUUUUCCCCUCCGACUCCGAGAACCUCGAUGAACAGGAACCUCUCGUGGUAGCGAAUGCUGGGAAUCAAAAUGUGACACACGAUCGAAUGCGAUCGUUACUGUUACAUUACAAAUUCAGAUGCGUUUCGUAUUGGGACUCUGGCCAUAUUUCAAUUAAAUCCAAUAAGGACAAUCAUAAGUCCACACACAACUUAAGACAAACGGUAUGAGAGAUGGCAAAUACCAGAGAAACUGUUUAAUGGGGAUAUUGAACCCUUUAUAAUAGUAGUCAUCCUAGAAAGUGUUCUCUUUCAGUGACGUAGAUCUAUUCUUCAUGUUCUCGUCCAACUCUUCACGCUGUUCAGAAACACAUGUGAAUCGCAAGCCUUUUUAAAACCAAUCUUUCCGUACGCUACCCGAUUAACAUUAACCCGGUGGUCUAAAUACGCGUGUACAUGUCUCUAAAGUCGCUGAUAAGAGGUAACAACACCGUACAAUAUAUGCAAGGAAACAAACACA
Molecule: long non-coding RNA, 968 nt
Organism: Anopheles arabiensis
Lineage: Eukaryota; Metazoa; Arthropoda; Insecta; Diptera; Culicidae
Exons: 2
Source: RefSeq, a predicted model, not a curated record